CAGGUUUGAUCAUGGCUCAGGAUGAACGCUAGCGGCAGGCCUAACACAUGCAAGUCGAGGGGCAUCGGGAUUGAAGCUUGCUUCAAUUGCCGGCGACCGGCGCACGGGUGCGUAACGCGUAUGUAACCUACCUAUAACAGGGGCAUAACACUGAGAAAUUGGUACUAAUUCCCCAUAAUAUUCGGAGAGGCAUCUCUCCGGGUUGAAAACUCCGGUGGUUAUAGAUGGACAUGCGUUGUAUUAGCUA
This 247-nucleotide ribosomal RNA is filed under the name uncultured bacterium. RNAcentral describes it as "partial 16S ribosomal RNA". It matches the Rfam family "Bacterial small subunit ribosomal RNA", at positions 9 to 247 of the family's 1533-position model. The record is from RNAcentral.